Molecule: long non-coding RNA, 605 nt
Organism: Rhododendron vialii
Lineage: Eukaryota; Viridiplantae; Streptophyta; Magnoliopsida; Ericales; Ericaceae
Exons: 2
Source: RefSeq, a predicted model, not a curated record
AUCAUAGUUAAGUCCCUUUUCUAACUCUGUAAUUGUACAGAUUUUUGUUUUGCUUCCGCACCCGUAUUUUGUUGCCUUCAUCAUAGUGAAGUCUGUUUGAACCCCAAAAAUUGGAAUGUUGAUGUUCCUUGUAUCAUAGAGUCAUAGACACAUUCUAAUCUGGAAUAUCUCAUGUUCUCAUAGACCGAUCAGAAGCUACGUGUUUGUGCCAUCUGUGGAGCAUUUUGAGCAUCUAUGACAGUGACCGUCGUUUAGCUAAUCACUUUGGAGGAAAGCUUCACUUGGGCUAUAUGCAAGUCCGUGAAAAGUUAGCUUAGCUUCAAAGGUCAUUAACAUGCAACCAAGCUUAAGUAUCUCCAGACCUUGAGGGACCGUAAACAGACAUAUGGUGGCUUGGUUUGACCUUUUUGCACUCUAUUUAAGAGCUUUGGGGAUCUUUUGAAUCGAGAAUGGUACUGUGAGUUCUUUCAUCUGUGUCAUCGGUUUGUCCAAUCAUCUCUGGUUCAUGCUCGUUCGCCUAUUUGUGGGAAAAAAAAUCUGAAUAUGAAAUGUGGCUGCCCUUGUCAUAGACUAUGCCUUGCUAUUUUUUUUUUUGUUGGGAGGGA